This 228-nucleotide long non-coding RNA is filed under the name Malus domestica (apple). Its description in RNAcentral is "long non-coding RNA (MDOM_LNC019142)". The record is from RNAcentral. Lineage: Eukaryota; Viridiplantae; Streptophyta; Magnoliopsida; Rosales; Rosaceae.
UUGACAAAAAUAGUCCAUUAACAUGGACUUAUAAUGAUUUUGAAUCAUUAAGUGUUGAAGUGAUAAACCAUUUAAUGAGACGAAAACUAGGCAAGGACUUCACCUUUGUGUCCCUAUCCUUAUGGUUCACUAAGUUUAUUGUAAACUAUAUAAAUGAACAAUAACCACAUGCUCUCCAAAAUGUUUGAUGUGUAUAACACAAUUGAAAUAAGUUUCAAGAGAGAUAGU